This 497-nucleotide ribosomal RNA is filed under the name uncultured bacterium. Its description in RNAcentral is "partial 16S ribosomal RNA". It matches the Rfam family "Bacterial small subunit ribosomal RNA", at positions 28 to 507 of the family's 1533-position model. The record is from RNAcentral.
GAUGAACGCUGGCGGCGUGCCUAAUACAUGCAAGUCGAGCGAACGGACGAGAAGCUUGCUCCUUUGAUGUUAGCGGCGGACGGGUGAGUAACACGUAGGUAACCUACCUAUAAGACUGGGAUAACUUCGGGAAACCGGAGCUAAUACCGGAUAAUAUUUCGAACCGCAUGGUUCAAUAGUGAAAGAUGGCUUUGCUGUCACUUAUAGAUGGACCUGCGCUGUAUUAGCUAGUUGGUAAGGUAACGGCUUACCAAGGCAACGAUACGUAGCCGACCUGAGAGGGUGAUCGGCCACACUGGAACUGAGACACGGUCCAGACUCCUACGGGAGGCAGCAGUAGGGAAUCUUCCGCAAUGGGCGAAAGCCUGACGGAGCAACGCCGCGUGAGUGAUGAAGGUCUUCGGAUCGUAAAACUCUGUUAUUAGGGAAGAACAAACGUGUAAGUAACUGUGCACGUCUUGACGGUACCUAAUCAGAAAGCCACGGCUAACUACGUG